CUUCCCAAGGGGAUGUGCGCCUCAGGGCUGGACCUCCUCUGGCCAGCAACUAGGCCCUGGUUCUACCCUCUGCACCACACAUGGGCGCUUGGUCUCAGGUGUGCUCAUACACACACACACACAGAAACACACAGAGACAGACACAGACAUGUCACGGUGGGCAAGGUGGUGACUGCUUUUCUACUUGUGGGUUGGGGAGGCCAAGCAGGGGCAUUGGCAGUUCAAGACCUGCCCAGGCCAGUGUGUGAGAUCCUUCGUCAAAGACACUAGAAAGGGCUGGGAAAGUGGCUCAGGAGCUGAGCGCUGGCCUCACAUGCAUGACC
Molecule: long non-coding RNA, 323 nt
Filed under: Marmota monax (woodchuck)
Lineage: Eukaryota; Metazoa; Chordata; Mammalia; Rodentia; Sciuridae
Source: RNAcentral